This 460-nucleotide ribosomal RNA is filed under the name uncultured bacterium. RNAcentral describes it as "partial 16S ribosomal RNA". It matches the Rfam family "Bacterial small subunit ribosomal RNA", at positions 338 to 795 of the family's 1533-position model. The record is from RNAcentral.
CCUACGGGAGGCAGCAGUGAGGAAUAUUGGUCAAUGGCCGGAAGGCUGAACCAGCCAUGCCGCGUGAAGGUCAGUGCCCUAUGGGCGUUAAACUUCUUUUGUGCGGGAGCAAUAAUGGUCACGUGUGGCCAGACGAGAGUACCGUACGAAUAAGCAUCGGCUAACUCCGUGCAAGCAGCCGCGGUAAUACGGGGGAUGCAAGCGUUAUCCGGAUUUAUUGGGUUUAAAGGGUGCGUAAGCUGUGAGGUAAGUCAGCGGUGAAAUGCCCCCGCUCAAAGGGGUGAAGUGCCAUUGAUACUGCCUUGCUGGAGUGCGGAUGACGUGGGAGGAAUGUGAGGUGUAGCGGUGAAAUGCAUAGAUAUCACGCAGAACACCGAUUGCGAAGGCAUCUCACGAAUCCGCGAUUGACGCUGAUGCACGAAAGCGUGGGUAUCAAACAGGAUUAGAUACCCGGGUAGUC